AUCGUCCACCAAACCCCAAUUUAUUUUUCUUCUUCUCUCUAUUUUUACUUUCCAUUCCAUUCAAAGUCAAAAAACCCUAAAAUAAAACCUUCUUCCUUCUUCUUCUUCUUAAUUAUUAGUUCAUUCAAACAUUCAAAUCAAAACCCUUACCUCCAAACUGAGUUGCUGUUCCUUCUGACCGAGGCAGUUUAUUCUCUUCCAUUGUAAGCUCGAAUUUUUUUACAUAUUCGAAGUUUGUCUUGAAAUAUUUUUGAAUUAUUAAAUGAUUUUUAGCUCUAUUUGCAUCUGUUUCACCCUAUUAAAUAAUUAAAAUAAUUAUUUUAUUUGAGACUUUGAGAAUUGAAUGCAGCUGCUGGAAAUUGGAAUCUCUAAAGCUAUUUUUGGCUUUAAAAUAAUUAAAAAUGAAACUUUUAAUUGUUGUUUGUCUUUUUCUUAUUUGGAAGAUAUAAAUUUUAUUAUUAUUAUUAAUAACUAAGCAGGGCCAGGAAGCACAACUUAAUAUAAUAUUGUAAUAAUGUAAUAUUAAUUAAUAGAGAAAAAUGCCAAUUAAUUUCCCAAAGUAAUAAUGUAAUAUUAGUAAUAAUAUAAUAUUAUUAAUACCGUAAUAUUAAUAGAAAAAAAAUUGAUAAAACAUACUUCUUUUUAAAGGAUUUUGCAGUUUACUAAUACAAUUUGAUAAAAUAACAUUAAAUGAUGAAUUAAAAUAUUGGAUUAUCAUAUUUAAAUUAUAAAUAAAAAUUAAAAUAUUAAAUACCUGACCUUAUAAAUAAAAUAACACUCAACCAGACUUUUAUUAAUUAAUUUAUGCUGUUGUAUAUUAAUUUAGG
This 827-nucleotide long non-coding RNA is filed under the name Gossypium barbadense (sea-island cotton). Its description in RNAcentral is "long non-coding RNA (GBAR_LNC007745)". The record is from RNAcentral. Lineage: Eukaryota; Viridiplantae; Streptophyta; Magnoliopsida; Malvales; Malvaceae.